GGAUUCCCCUAGUAGCGGCGAGCGAAGCGGGAAGAGCUCAAAUUUAUAAUCUGGCACCUUCGGUGUCCGAGUUGUAAUCUCUAGAAAUGUUUUCCGCGUUGGACCGCACACAAGUCUGUUGGAAUACAGCGGCAUAGUGGUGAGACCCCCGUAUAUGGUGCGGACGCCCAGCGCUUUGUGAUACAUUUUCGAAGAGUCGAGUUGUUUGGGAAUGCAGCUCAAAUUGGGUGGUAAAUUCCAUCUAAAGCUAAAUAUUGGCGAGAGACCGAUAGCGAACAAGUACCGUGAGGGAAAGAUGAAAAGCACUUUGGAAAGAGAGUUAACAGUACGUGAAAUUGUUGGAAGGGAAACGCUUGAAGUCAGACUUGCUUGCUGAGCAAUCGGUUUGCAGGCCAGCAUCAGUUUUCCGGGAUGGAUAAUGGUAGAGAGAAGGUAGCAGUUUCGGCUGUGUUAUAGCUCUCUGCUGGAUACAUCUUGGGGGACUGAGGAACGCAGUGUGCCUUUGGCGGGGGUUUCGACCUCUUCACACUUAGGAUGCUGGUGGAAUGGCUUUAAACGACCCGUCUUGA
This 569-nucleotide ribosomal RNA is filed under the name Rhodotorula mucilaginosa. RNAcentral describes it as "partial large subunit ribosomal RNA". It matches the Rfam family "Eukaryotic large subunit ribosomal RNA", at positions 72 to 657 of the family's 3401-position model. The record is from RNAcentral. Lineage: Eukaryota; Fungi; Basidiomycota; Microbotryomycetes; Sporidiobolales; Sporidiobolaceae.